ACGCUGGCGGCAUGCUUUACACAUGCAAGUCGGACGGCAGCGGGGUAGUGCUUGCACUACUGCCGGCGAGUGGCGAACGGGUGAGUAAUAUAUUGGAACGUACCGAGUAAUGGGGGAUAACCAAUCGAAAGAUUGGCUAAUACCGCAUACGCUCUGAGGAGGAAAGCAGGGGACCUUCGGGCCUUGCGUUAUUCGAGCGGCCAAUAUCUGAUUAGCUAGUUGGUGGGGUAAAGGCCUACCAAGGCGACGAUCAGUAGCGGGUCUGAGAGGAUGAUCCGCCACACUGGGACUGAGACACGGCCCAGACUCCUACGGGAGGCAGCAGUGGGGAAUUUUGGACAAUGGGCGCAAGCCUGAUCCAGCCAUGCCGCGUGUCUGAAGAAGGCCUUCGGGUUGUAAAGGACUUUUGUUAGGGAAGAAAAAGGAGCGGUUAAUACCCGUUUCUGCUGACGGUACCUAAAGAAUAAGCACCGGCUAACUACGUGCCAGCAGCCGCGGUAAUACGUAGGGUGCGAGCGUUAAUCGGAAUUACUGGGCGUAAAGCGAGCGCAGACGGUUACUUAAGCAGGAUGUGAAAUCCCCGGGCUUAACCUGGGAACUGCGUUCUGAACUGGGUGGCUAGAGUAUGUCAGAGGGGGGUAGAAUUCCACGUGUAGCAGUGAAAUGCGUAGAGAUGUGGAGGAAUACCGAUGGCGAAGGCAGCCCCCUGGGAUAAUACUGACGUUCAUGCUCGAAAGCGUGGGUAGCAAACAGGAUUAGAUACCCUGGUAGUCCACGCCCUAAACGAUGUCGAUUAGCUGUUGGGCAGCUUGACUGCUUAGUAGCGUAGCUAACGCGUGAAAUCGACCGCCUGGGGAGUACGGUCGCAAGAUUAAAACUCAAAGGAAUUGACGGGGACCCGCACAAGCGG
RNAcentral lists this ribosomal RNA (910 nucleotides) under uncultured bacterium. Its description in RNAcentral is "bacterial SSU rRNA". It matches the Rfam family "Bacterial small subunit ribosomal RNA", at positions 33 to 932 of the family's 1533-position model. The record is from RNAcentral.